This 449-nucleotide ribosomal RNA is filed under the name uncultured bacterium. Its description in RNAcentral is "SSU rRNA". It matches the Rfam family "Bacterial small subunit ribosomal RNA", at positions 26 to 518 of the family's 1533-position model. The record is from RNAcentral.
AGGAUGAACGCUGGCGGUCUGCUUAACACAUGCAAGUCGAACGGGCGUAGCAAUACGUUAGUGGCGGACGGGUGAGUAACGCGUGAGAAUCUACCUUCAGGACGGAGACAACAGUUGGAAACGACUGCUAACCCCCGAUGUACCGAAAGGGCAAAUAUUUAUAGCCUGAAGAAGAGCUCGCGUCCGAUUAGCUAGUUGGAGAGGUAAAAGCUCACCAAGGCGACGAUCGGUAGCUGGUCUGAGAGGACGAUCAGCCACACUGGGACUGAGACACGGCUCAGACUCCUACGGGAGGCAGCAGUGGGGAAUUUUCCGCAAUGGGCGAAAGCCUGACGGAGCAAGACCGCGUGGGGGAGAAGGCUCUUGGGUUGUAAACCCCUUUUCUCUGGGAAGAACGCAAUGACGGUACCAGAGGAAUCAGCAUCGGCUAACUCCGUGCCAGCAGCCGC